RNAcentral lists this ribosomal RNA (497 nucleotides) under uncultured bacterium. RNAcentral describes it as "partial 16S ribosomal RNA". It matches the Rfam family "Bacterial small subunit ribosomal RNA", at positions 28 to 507 of the family's 1533-position model. The record is from RNAcentral.
GAUGAACGCUGGCGGCGUGCCUAAUACAUGCAAGUCGAGCGAACAGACGAGGAGCUUGCUCCUCUGACGUUAGCGGCGGACGGGUGAGUAACACGUGGAUAACCUACCUAUAAGACUGGGAUAACUUCGGGAAACCGGAGUUAAUACCGGAUAAUAUAUUGAACCGCAUGGUUCAAUAGUGAAAGACGGUUUUGCUGUCACUUAUAGAUGGAUCCGCGCCGCAUUAGCUAGUUGGUAAGGUAACGGCUUACCAAGGCAACGAUGCGUAGCCGACCUGAGAGGGUGAUCGGCUACACUGGAACUGAGACACGGUCCAGACUCCUACGGGAGGCAGCAGUAGGGAAUCUUCCGCAAUGGGCGAAAGCCUGACGGAGCAACGCCGCGUGAGUGAUGAAGGUCUUCGGAUCGUAAAACUCUGUUAUUAGGGAAGAACAAAUGUGUAAGUAACUAUGCACGUCUUGACGGUACCUAAUCAGAAAGCCACGGCUAACUACGUG